CCUACGGGGGGCAGCAGUGAGGAAUAUUGGUCAAUGGACGAGAGUCUGAACCAGCCAAGUAGCGUGAAGGAUGACUGCCCUAUGGGUUGUAAACUUCUUUUAUAUGGGAAUGAAAUGUUCCACGUGUGGGAUUUUGUAUGUACCAUAUGAAUAAGGAUCGGCUAACUCCGUGCCAGCAGCCGCGGUAAUACGGAGGAUCCGAGCGUUAUCCGGAUUUAUUGGGUUUAAAGGGAGCGUAGGUGGAUUGUUAAGUCAGUUGUGAAAGUUUGCGGCUCAACCGUAAAAUUGCAGUUGAAACUGGCAGUCUUGAGUACAGUAGAGGUGGGCGGAAUUCGUGGUGUAGCGGUGAAAUGCUUAGAUAUCACGAAGAACUCCGAUUGCGAAGGCAGUUCACUGGACUGCAACUGACACUGAGGCUCGAAAGUGUGGGUAUCAAACAGGAUUAGAUACCCCAGUAGUC
This 460-nucleotide ribosomal RNA is filed under the name uncultured bacterium. Its description in RNAcentral is "partial 16S ribosomal RNA". It matches the Rfam family "Bacterial small subunit ribosomal RNA", at positions 338 to 795 of the family's 1533-position model. The record is from RNAcentral.